This 144-nucleotide microRNA precursor is filed under the name Gossypium arboreum. RNAcentral's name for it is "MIR7502 microRNA precursor family". It matches the Rfam family "MIR7502 microRNA precursor family". Lineage: Eukaryota; Viridiplantae; Streptophyta; Magnoliopsida; Malvales; Malvaceae. The record is from Rfam by way of RNAcentral.
UAUUAAAAUUUUUAUCAAUUUGUACUGUUAAAAACUGGUUGGUUGAUGAAAUAACCAAACAGUAACAUGUGACGUGUCAUGUGUACAUAAGAUGAUGUAUAGGGACCAAUACUUAAUAAUAAGAAAUAGAUAAAAUUUUUAACA